This 790-nucleotide small RNA is filed under the name uncultured Fusarium. Its description in RNAcentral is "eukaryotic LSU rRNA". The stretch from base 529 to 790 matches the Rfam family "Eukaryotic large subunit ribosomal RNA", at positions 1 to 266 of the family's 3401-position model. Lineage: Eukaryota; Fungi; Ascomycota; Sordariomycetes; Hypocreales; Nectriaceae. The record is from RNAcentral.
GGAAGUAAAAGUCGUAACAAGGUCUCCGUUGGUGAACCAGCGGAGGGAUCAUUACCGAGUUUACAACUCCCAAACCCCUGUGAACAUACCUUAAUGUUGCCUCGGCGGAUCAGCCCGCGCCCCGUAAAACGGGACGGCCCGCCAGAGGACCCAAACUCUAAUGUUUCUUAUUGUAACUUCUGAGUAAAACAAACAAAUAAAUCAAAACUUUCAACAACGGAUCUCUUGGUUCUGGCAUCGAUGAAGAACGCAGCAAAAUGCGAUAAGUAAUGUGAAUUGCAGAAUUCAGUGAAUCAUCGAAUCUUUGAACGCACAUUGCGCCCGCUGGUAUUCCGGCGGGCAUGCCUGUUCGAGCGUCAUUUCAACCCUCAAGCCCCCGGGUUUGGUGUUGGGGAUCGGCUCUGCUUUCUGGCGGUGCCGCCCCCGAAAUACAUUGGCGGUCUCGCUGCAGCCUCCAUUGCGUAGUAGCUAACACCUCGCAACUGGAACGCGGCGCGGCCAUGCCGUAAAACCCCAACUUCUGAAUGUUGACCUCGGAUCAGGUAGGAAUACCCGCUGAACUUAAGCAUGUCAAUAAGCGGAGGAAAAGAAACCAACAGGGAUUGCCCUAGUAACGGCGAGUGAAGCGGCAACAGCUCAAAUUUGAAAUCUGGCUUUCGGGCCCGAGUUGUAAUUUGUAGAGGAUACUUUUGAUGCGGUGCCUUCCGAGUUCCCUGGAACGGGACGCCAUAGAGGGUGAGAGCCCCGUCUGGUUGGAUGCCAAAUCUCUGUAAAGUUCCUUCGACGAGUC